UGUUGUUUGUUUGUUUAUUUUGUUUUUUUCUAUUUUGCAGCUGGAUCAUCUCAAAGUGUUCUAACAGAGCAUCUCCCAUUGGUUUCUGGGGCCAGGGCACAUCACAGUUUCCAGCCCCAUUUACAAUGCUGCUAUGGGCCAGCACAGAUGACUUCCUGGUGGCAGGAACAAUGCUAAAAUGGGGCUCUUAGUUAUUGAGCAUUUGUUGGCUGGAUAAACUGUCUCAGAGUGAGAUCACGUCCUCACUCAUUCUGGAGUCUGUCUCCAUUGGUGAGCACCCAGAGGAACCAAGGUCAUCCCCCAAGCAAGGGGAUGUCCUCAGUAGAGGUCUUGCCAGGAACUGCUACCCAGUUUGCUAUCUGCCCCUUCUUGCUCCCUCCCUCUGUCCCAUAGCUGUGGUUCCCAAGGAUGUGCCCUUGUAAUACAGCAGGAAUUGGACUCCCAGCACCCAUGGGAGUAGUUGGAGAACAAGAGGAGGCAUAGUCAAUCAACCAAUGACAUCAUCCCCAGGAGAACUUUUCUCUGACCAUUCUUUUCCAAGAGGCCAUGAAGACCACUUAUUUCUGUCUACAUCUUCCUUCAGCCAAGCUAUAAAAGGACACACAGUAUAUCAAGUGACUUGAAAGAAGACAUCCUAGCUAUGGUGACUGGAGUCUGGUCACCAUCCAUUCAAAGGUGAGAUCCUAGGAUCACAUGUUUUAACCCACACCUUCUGCACUGGUCUCCAUUCCCCCAUUCUCAGGGAUUACCUGCUGUCCUCAUUACAGGGGCUUCCUAUCUUAGCCUAACCCCUACAGUGCACUUUGAUUUAGAGAAAAAUUGCAACCAGGACAACUUUUCCCCAAUAGUCUGAAUUUAACUUAAAGUUUUCUCAUGAAGGAUGAAUUUCCUGCUGCUUUUCAAUAAAGCAGAAUGUGACUGCGGCAGGUGGGGACACUUCCAUGACAAUAGGAAGGUUCCAUAAAUUAAUGUGUGGAAGAGAAAUCUGUAUUCAUCCUGGCUCAUCUAAGUGGGUUAGAUGAAUGGAUCCAACAUAGGUGGACCUGGGUGGUGGGGACAGGGUGGUGAGCAGGAUAACUGUGUGUACAUGGACAGCAUAGAAAGACCUGGAAGGCAGGAAUAACUUCAGAGAGAGCCUGGGAACAGGGCCAAAUUCAUCCUCAGCUGAGGCUGUG
This 1175-nucleotide long non-coding RNA is filed under the name Cricetulus griseus (Chinese hamster). Its description in RNAcentral is "lncRNA (ENSCGRG00000026045.1)". The record is from RNAcentral. Lineage: Eukaryota; Metazoa; Chordata; Mammalia; Rodentia; Cricetidae.